GUAAUGCCAAAAAUACCCUUCGU
Molecule: non-coding RNA, 23 nt
Filed under: Arabidopsis thaliana (thale cress)
Lineage: Eukaryota; Viridiplantae; Streptophyta; Magnoliopsida; Brassicales; Brassicaceae
Source: RNAcentral